GACGAACGCUGGCGGCGUGCCUAAUACAUGCAAGUUGAGCGAUGAAGAUUGGUGCUUGCACCAAUUUGAAGAGCAGCGAACGGGUGAGUAACGCGUGGGGAAUCUGCCUUUGAGCGGGGGACAACAUUUGGAAACGAAUGCUAAUACCGCAUAACAACUUUAAACAUAAGUUUUAAGUUUGAAAGAUGCAAUUGCAUCACUCAAAGAUGAUCCCGCGUUGUAUUAGCUAGUUGGUGAGGUAAAGGCUCACCAAGGCGAUGAUACAUAGCCGACCUGAGAGGGUGAUCGGCCACAUUGGGACUGAGACACGGCCCAAACUCCUAUGGGAGGCAGCAGUAGGGAAUCUUCGGCAAUGGACGAAAGUCUGACCGAGCAACGCCGCGUGAGUGAAGAAGGUUUUCGGAUCGUAAAACUCUGUUGGUAGAGAAGAACGUUGGUGAGAGUGGAAAGCUCAUCAAGUGACGGUAACUACCCAGAAAGGGACGGCUAACUACGUG
Molecule: ribosomal RNA, 497 nt
Filed under: uncultured bacterium
Lineage: Bacteria
Description: partial 16S ribosomal RNA
Rfam family: Bacterial small subunit ribosomal RNA
Source: RNAcentral